UACAGCAUCCAGUUGUGUGAGA
Molecule: microRNA, 22 nt
Filed under: Petromyzon marinus (sea lamprey)
Lineage: Eukaryota; Metazoa; Chordata; Hyperoartia; Petromyzontiformes; Petromyzontidae
Description: Pma-Mir-4545-P1-v1_3p (mature (guide))
Source: RNAcentral